This 243-nucleotide ribosomal RNA is filed under the name uncultured bacterium. RNAcentral describes it as "partial 16S ribosomal RNA". It matches the Rfam family "Bacterial small subunit ribosomal RNA", at positions 95 to 334 of the family's 1533-position model. The record is from RNAcentral.
UUGGCGAACGGGUGAGUAACGCGUGAGUAACCUGCCCUGGAGUGGGGGGACGAACAGUUGGAAACGACUGCUAAUACCGCAUAAGCCCACGGCCCGGCAUCGGGCUGCGGGAAAAGGAUUUAUUCGCUUCAGGAUGGACUCGCGUCCAAUUAGCUAGUUGGUGAGGUAACGGCCCACCAAGGCGACGAUUGGUAGCCGGACUGAGAGGUUGAACGGCCACAUUGGGACUGAGACACGGCCCAG